CCUACGGUGGGCAGCAGUGAGGAAUAUUGGUCAAUGGCCGGAAGGCUGAACCAGCCAAGCCGCGUGAGGGACGAAGGCACAGUGGGUGGUAAACCUCUUUUGUAAGGGAAGAAAAAAUGGUACGUGUAGCAUGAUGCCUGUACCUUAUGAAUAAGCAUCGGGUAACUCCGUGCCAGCAGCCGCGGUAAUACGGAGGAUGCGCGCGUUAUCCGGAUUUAGUGGGUGUACGGGGUGCGGAGGCGGUCUGUUAGGGUAGUGGUUAAACGUCGGGGCUUCUCCGGGAUGUGCCAUUGAGACUGUCAGUCUCGAGUUCAGGCGAGGUAUGCUGAAUCCGUUGUGUAGCGGUGAAAUGCUUAGAUAUCA
RNAcentral lists this ribosomal RNA (363 nucleotides) under uncultured bacterium. RNAcentral's name for it is "partial 16S ribosomal RNA". It matches the Rfam family "Bacterial small subunit ribosomal RNA", at positions 338 to 699 of the family's 1533-position model. The record is from RNAcentral.